AACCAGGUAGAGAUUUCCUGUGGACCCUGCCUCCAUCUGCCUAUGGCUGUCACUCUUCAGCACCCUGGAUCAGAGAGGGGUUAUUUAUUGAUCUUUUCACAAUUUUCCACAUAUCAUUUCAAGGUCACAAAAGUCCUGUGUGUGUCCCCAGAUGCACAUAUCUCCAGUUUCACCAAGGCCCCAAAAGCUCAAUGGGGCCUCUCAUCUCUCUCAGGAGUCUACUGAAGCACAAAGCAUUUCCAGCCACUUACAUCCCUUUUGUGCACUGAAAAAUACAGCUAGUCCUUUACAGGGUUUAUGUACUGAGGGAGUUUGUCCUCCUUAUUG
Molecule: long non-coding RNA, 327 nt
Organism: Mesocricetus auratus (golden hamster)
Lineage: Eukaryota; Metazoa; Chordata; Mammalia; Rodentia; Cricetidae
Exons: 3
Source: RefSeq, a predicted model, not a curated record